RNAcentral lists this ribosomal RNA (566 nucleotides) under Acinetobacter baumannii. Its description in RNAcentral is "bacterial SSU rRNA". It matches the Rfam family "Bacterial small subunit ribosomal RNA", at positions 85 to 646 of the family's 1533-position model. The record is from RNAcentral. Lineage: Bacteria; Pseudomonadati; Pseudomonadota; Gammaproteobacteria; Moraxellales; Moraxellaceae.
ACCGGACCUAGCGGCGGACGGGUGAGUAAUGCUUAGGAAUCUGCCUAUUAGUGGGGGACAACAUCUCGAAAGGGAUGCUAAUACCGCAUACGUCCUACGGGAGAAAGCAGGGGAUCUUCGGACCUUGCGCUAAUAGAUGAGCCUAAGUCGGAUUAGCUAGUUGGUGGGGUAAAGCCCUACCAAGGCGACGAUCUGUACCGCAUAAUAAAAUCUACAUCCGGGACACUGGGACUGACACACGACCCAGACUCGGACGGGAGGGGGGAGUGUGGAAUAUUGGACGAUGGGGGGAACCCUGAUCCAGCCAUGCCGCGUGAGUGAAGAAGGUCUUAUGGUUGUAAAGCACUUUAAGCGAGGAGGAGGCUACUCUAGUUAAUACCUAGGGAUAGUGGACGUUACUCGCAGAAUAAGCACCGUCUAACUCUGUGCCAGCAGAAGCGAAAAUACAGAGGGUGCGAGCGUUAUUCGGAUUUACUGGGCGUAGAGCGUGCGUUUCUUCUUAUUAAGUCGCACGCCCAAUCCCCGAGCUUAACUUGCGACUUGCAUUCGAUACUGGAGAGCUAGAG